AGCAGUAGCCGCGGUAAUACGUAGGGUGCGAGCGUUAAUCGGAAUUACUGGGCGUAAAGCGUGCGCAGGCGGUUUUGUAAGACAGGCGUGAAAUCCCCGGGCUCAACCUGGGAAUGGCGCUUGUGACUGCAAAGCUAGAGUGCGGCAGAGGGGGAUGGAAUUCCGCGUGUAGCAGUGAAAUGCGUAGAUAUGCGGAGGAACACCGAUGGCGAAGGCAAUCCCCUGGGCCUGCACUGACGCUCAUGCACGAAAGCGUGGGGAGCAAACAGGAUUAGAUACCCGUGUAGUCCCUGUCUCUUAUAA
Molecule: ribosomal RNA, 303 nt
Filed under: uncultured bacterium
Lineage: Bacteria
Description: partial 16S ribosomal RNA
Rfam family: Bacterial small subunit ribosomal RNA
Source: RNAcentral